This 1561-nucleotide long non-coding RNA is filed under the name Diuraphis noxia (Russian wheat aphid). Its description in RNAcentral is "uncharacterized LOC107161661, transcript variant X4". Lineage: Eukaryota; Metazoa; Arthropoda; Insecta; Hemiptera; Aphididae. The record is from RNAcentral.
CUAUGCGGCCCAUAACCCACUGCUCGUUACCAAGGCAUUCGCGACGUCCGUCGUCCACGUCAUUUGCGGUCCACACUCAGAAGCCAGCGGUACUAUGUUAGUCCGUUUUCCUGCUGAUGCACAAAGAACAAAUAUGGCGGACGAAAUGGACGCCCAUAAUCCGAAAACUACAUCCGUCCGUUUAUCACUUGGUGCGAGUGCUAGUCACUGGCCUUGGAGCUUUUGCUUUGCCACGCCUGGUGGCUGAACAACGGACUUGAUUUUCUAUGAUAAUUUCAAAUGGUAUUGAAACCACUUAAAACAGAAAGAAAUAUCAAAAUAGAUGUACCAACAAUAGUGAUCAAAGAUCUAAAAUGUUGAUCAUUUGACCAUUAAAAUGCCAGAAAUAUUACAUGCACUGUAAGGUGGAAUUUGAGUAUGUGCAUACAGUUCAUAAUAUGGCCAUCUAUGUUGUAAGUAAGGAUCUUAUGCUGGAUUAUAGGUAGAGGAGUGGGUUUUCAUUACACAAUUAUUUGACCAAUUGGAUUGGUAUAUAGUAUUGUGAAUCCAACAUCACGUCAUUAUUAUUAUUCAACUGUCAUUACACAAACGUUGGAAAACUUAUUCUACAGUUAAACCCUGAGUUAGGUUGUUAAUUCUAGGGUUUAUUAGAAGGUUAUUGUUUAUUCAUCGCCAUAGUUAUUAGCCAUGACUUGACCAGUGUUGAAGAUUAUAACUACUUCAACGCUUAACUAUUUAUAUGUUGACUAAAUCUUCGCUUGUCAAGAGUUUCUAAGAUUUUCAUAUAUUAGAAGUUGGAGUUUAUAUAUCUAAUGGAUGGUCUUUAAGAUGAAGUGUUAAAAGUUGGAAAUGUGUUAUAACAUUUAUACACAGCUGGAUAUUUUUAUAUCUAUUACUUUGUGUUAGCAAAGAGGUUGGUGGAGUGACUGAUGACAACCCCUAAUCAACCCCAUCUAUGUUGCUGUAGACUCAGACAUGAAGUUAACUAGUGAAAUACAAAUUACACUACAAACUAUGAUUUUGGUUUUUUAGUCUAGAGCUCUAUGGGCUUGAAGUUGUCAAUUUUUUUUAUGUAACAUUUUAUUUUCAACUCAAUUUUAAAUCUGUUUGCCUAGUGUUAAUCUAACAUCAGUGCCUUCGAUUUCUUUUCAAACCCUAAAUGUAUUUGUUUUGAAAAUAAUAGAAAAUAAUUUGUAAGCUAACAUUACUAGAAAGUAAUUAAUAAAUACACAACUAUUGGACUUAUUACUAUAUUAUGUAUCAAUAAAUCUAUUAUGUUGUCAAAAGACAUAUUUAAUAUGCUAUCUUAGUUCUGUUAUCUACCUAUCUUAAAUUCUAAAACAAAUAAUAUAUACCUAAUAUAUUUACGCUAUUAUCAUUGUUGAAAUACAUGUACUAAUAGAAUUUAAAAUUUAUUGAUAUGAGGAGUUGUAUUUGUAAACUUUGUAUUAUCUUAAUACGCAUCUAUAUUUUUUUUACAUUAAAAUAAUCAAUUGUUUUAUAUAAAUGUUAAGUAUAAAUUAUAUAUGGGUUGAAUAAAUUUUGAUAUUUUUGAAACCCA